GAAUUUCUGUGCUGGCAAGAAAAUAACAUCAACCUUACUUAAUUAUAUAGCUCAAAAUUAAAAUAAAAGUUCUAUAGUUUAACUUAUAAACUCACUUUCUACGGACAGCAGUUGUGUGGUAUUACCAAUGCUUUUCAACUUUGUUUCAUAAAAUCUUUCUUUCUUUCCACUUUUAUUAUGGUCGCUUUGGUUUGUACACACACACGAAGCACAGAAGCACAAUAGUCAACACGAUUCUUUGAUAAUCCGGUAAUUUUGGAAAUUGGGUCAGUGGCCUUGUGCAGCUUCAGAUCUUCGAUUGAGCAAACGCAGCCUUGCUACUGCCAUUAAAUUUUGGGAAAAAAGCUCAUGAUUGCCAUCAAUGAACGCCGCUGAGCACUAACAAACGCUGACGUAGUGAAAAGUGCAGCAUCUUCGCGAACGAAUCACCGAAGAAGAAAAAAAACAACAAAAAGGAUUUGGCGAAAUAAGAAGAGUACGAAAGAAAAGCCACUAAACAAUCUUCUCAUUGCAGCUCAUUUUAUUGACUCGCCUUCAUGGUACAUUGCAACUACAAUGAGUUCAAUGGCUAAUAUUGCAUUGUUAGUAUUUAUAUAGUUUUGAUGUCUAUUCUGAAAUGUGCGCAGUCGUAAUUUUAGAUUUUGUCGUACACAUAACAGUGCAUGAGGUCUCCUGUAGGAAAUAAAAAAUCACUUGAAAAGAACACAAAAUUAUUGAUGAAUGGAAAACAAAUAUAAGAUUUUUGUUAAGAUUUUUCUUAUAUUACAGUUGUUACUUUCAAAUUUAUAUGUAAUUUCUAAAUGUUCUAACAUAUUCAACU
Non-coding RNA from Bactrocera oleae (olive fruit fly), 820 nucleotides. The record is from RefSeq and is a predicted model, not a curated record. NCBI's taxonomy places the organism in Eukaryota, Metazoa, Arthropoda, Insecta, Diptera, Tephritidae.